AGCGAACGCUCGCGGCAGGCCUAACACAUGCAAGUCGAACGGAUCCUUCGGGAUUAGUGGCGGACGGGUGAGUAACACGUGGGAACGUGCCCUUUGGUUCGGAACAACUCAGGGAAACUUGAGCUAAUACCGGAUGUGCCCUUCGGGGGAAAGAUUUAUCGCCAUUGGAGCGGCCCGCGUCUGAUUAGCUAGUUGGUGAGGUAACGGCCCACCAAGGCGACGAUCAGUAGCUGGUCUGAGAGGAUGAUCAGCCACACUGGGACUGAGACACGGCCCAGACUCCUACGGGAGGCAGCAGUGGGGAAUCUUGCGCAAUGGGCGAAAGCCUGACGCAGCCAUGCCGCGUGAAUGAUGAAGGUCUUAGGAUUGUAAAAUUCUUUCAGCGGGGACGAUAAUGACGGUACCCGCAGAAGAAGCUCCGGCUAACUUCGUG
Molecule: ribosomal RNA, 433 nt
Filed under: uncultured bacterium
Lineage: Bacteria
Description: partial 16S ribosomal RNA
Rfam family: Bacterial small subunit ribosomal RNA
Source: RNAcentral